RNAcentral lists this ribosomal RNA (1011 nucleotides) under Pigmentiphaga aceris. RNAcentral's name for it is "bacterial SSU rRNA". It matches the Rfam family "Bacterial small subunit ribosomal RNA", at positions 60 to 1065 of the family's 1533-position model. The record is from RNAcentral. Lineage: Bacteria; Pseudomonadati; Pseudomonadota; Betaproteobacteria; Burkholderiales; Alcaligenaceae.
AGUCGAACGGCAGCACGGACUUCGGUCUGGUGGCGAGUGGCGAACGGGUGAGUAAUGUAUCGGAACGUACCCAGUAGCGGGGGAUAACUACUCGAAAGAGUAGCUAAUACCGCAUACGCCCUUCGGGGGAAAGGGGGGGAUCUUCGGACCUCCCACUAUUGGAGCGGCUGAUAUCGGAUUAGCUAGUUGGUGAGGUAAAGGCUCACCAAGGCGACGAUCCGUAGCUGGUUUGAGAGGACGACCAGCCACACUGGAACUGAGACACGGUCCAGACUCCUACGGGAGGCAGCAGUGGGGAAUUUUGGACAAUGGGGGAAACCCUGAUCCAGCCAUUCCGCGUGUGUGAAGAAGGCCUUCGGGUUGUAAAGCACUUUUGGCGGGAAAGAAACGGCGUCGACUAAUACUCGGCGUAACUGACGGUACCCGCAGAAUAAGCACCGGCUAACUACGUGCCAGCAGCCGCGGUAAUACGUAGGGUGCAAGCGUUAAUCGGAAUUACUGGGCGUAAAGCGUGCGCAGGCGGUUCGGAAAGAAAGAUGUGAAAUCCCAGGGCUCAACCUUGGAACUGCAUUUUUAACUACCGGACUAGAGUAUGUCAGAGGGGGGUGGAAUUCCACGUGUAGCAGUGAAAUGCGUAGAUAUGUGGAGGAACACCGAUGGCGAAGGCAGCCCCCUGGGAUAAUACUGACGCUCAUGCACGAAAGCGUGGGGAGCAAACAGGAUUAGAUACCCUGGUAGUCCACGCCCUAAACGAUGUCAACUAGCUGUCGGGACCUUCGGGUUUUGGUAGCGCAGCUAACGCGUGAAGUUGACCGCCUGGGGAGUACGGUCGCAAGAUUAAAACUCAAAGGAAUUGACGGGGACCCGCACAAGCGGUGGAUGAUGUGGAUUAAUUCGAUGCAACGCGAAAAACCUUACCUACCCUUGACAUGUCUAGAAUCCCGGAGAGAUCUGGGAGUGCUCGAAAGAGAACUGGAACACAGGUGCUGCAUGGCCGUCGUCAGCUCGUGU